AGAAAUCUCCUAUACCCUGCAACUUCUGCUCUAUGUUUCAGCCAUGGCCUCCAGAAAGAGAGCCUUAUCUCUAAGAGAACAUGCCAAAAAAGAAAUAUAAUUCAUGUGCUUUCAAAGGUCGCUAUGCACGGAUCAAUGAAAAAGCAGGAGUUCUUAAUAGGGAUUCGAGAUUGCUUAGAAGAUGAGGAUAUCUCCAAGAUGCUGCCUGCCGAAUGACAGAAAAACAAGAUCAGGAUAACAUCAAAGGAGUGGGAAGAGGGGAUUAUGAAAGGAAAGCAUCUGAUAAAAUUUUCGCAGGUUGAAACGCGACAAAGGCAACUCGCUCUCUCCGUCCGUCACCUUAAAAGAGAUACAUCCAAGGGUUGGUAACAUCUAUUCCUAACACUCUUAUGAGUCUAUGGGAAUCCCAUUUAAGAAACUAAACGAAAGUCAAGUUGUGAGCUUGGAGAGGCCAUUCUCCCUAGAACAAAUGAGGGAGGCAGUUUUCUCACUGUUUAGGGAUUAAGCCUAGGGAGUGAACAAAUACCCUAUGGCCUUCUAUAAAUUCUAUUGGAACACUGUUCAAGCAAACUUGCUCAAAGUCCUUGAAGAAUACUGUUAUAGAGGGAUUAUUAACAAAGCGAUAAACUCCACCUUUAUAGCUUUAAUACCCAUAAAACAGAUAAUUAAGUCACCUAAUGACAUCACUAGCCUACAUGUAGAUACCCCAUCUCUCCAGCUUAGGGAAUUAUAUGUAAUCAGAAA
This 744-nucleotide long non-coding RNA is filed under the name Amborella trichopoda. RNAcentral describes it as "long non-coding RNA (ATRI_LNC002564)". The record is from RNAcentral. Lineage: Eukaryota; Viridiplantae; Streptophyta; Magnoliopsida; Amborellales; Amborellaceae.